RNAcentral lists this ribosomal RNA (296 nucleotides) under Methylophilaceae bacterium. Its description in RNAcentral is "partial 16S ribosomal RNA". It matches the Rfam family "Bacterial small subunit ribosomal RNA", at positions 1 to 291 of the family's 1533-position model. Lineage: Bacteria; Pseudomonadati; Pseudomonadota; Betaproteobacteria; Nitrosomonadales; Methylophilaceae. The record is from RNAcentral.
GAUUAAACUGAAGAGUUUGAUCCUGGCUCAGAUUGAACGCUGGCGGAAUGCUUUACACAUGCAAGUCGAACGGCAGCACGGAGAGCUUGCUCUCUGGUGGCGAGUGGCGAACGGGUGAGUAAUAUAUCGGAACGUGUCCAAUAAUGGGGGAUAACGAGUCGAAAGAUUCGCUAAUACCGCAUACGCCCUACGGGGGAAAGCAGGGGAUCGUAAGACCUUGCGUUAAUGGAGCGGCCGAUAUCUGAUUAGCUUGUUGGUGAGGUAAAGGCUCACCAAGGCGACGAUCAGUAGCUGGU